UCAAAUGAUAAAAAAAAUAACCGUGUUAAAAUAUAUUAUAUUUUCUUAAAUAGUACACAUUUUUACGAUACAUUUAUAAUGACAAAAAACCAACUAGUUCAUAUGACGACAACGAUAAUUAUUGUAUGAUGGUAGUUGUCUGAAGUCAUAAAAAGCUUAUCGGUAUGCUUAUUCAUUAGAGCGGUUCGAUUCCUGAAACUAUCUCUAGUCUGAUUAAGUGUGGUAACAGUUUUAAGAUGAGUCAAAGAUUCUGGUUGAACAGUUCUCCAUCGACACUAACUGGAAGAAAUGAUUGUUUUAUCAUUUGUCUAAAUAGACUAGCUAGAAUGUGACCAGAGGAAGAUUAAAUGGACAUAUCAUAUAUUUCUCCAUGGACACUGUAGUAAUCCAUAGACUGACUUUUGACACUAUAUUUGAAUAUUUGUUGUUGACGUUAAUUGGAUUUUGUGCAAAACCCCUGGAAGAAUAUUCUGUAUCAGACUAACAGUAUAAACGCCACCCAGUAAUUCUGUUUACCUGCUGUUAGACAUCGUAGUACCAUCUCCAAUCUCUUUAUAUAUGUUUAAUUUUAUUUAAAAAAGUCUUAUUAUAAUUUAUUAUUAAUCAAGUGUAAUUCAGUUGAUUAUUUAUUGAAUAACUUAUUAUCCUGUCUUCAAUGUCUAUGUAAACUGUACUGUAUUUAUGACCACUACACUGAUAUCUCAUUUGGCUAAAUAUUUUUAAUUUUCAACUACAUUAAAACAA
Long non-coding RNA from Adelges cooleyi (spruce gall adelgid), 744 nucleotides. RefSeq lists it as uncharacterized. NCBI's taxonomy places the organism in Eukaryota, Metazoa, Arthropoda, Insecta, Hemiptera, Adelgidae. The record is from RefSeq and is a predicted model, not a curated record. The transcript is spliced from 4 exons.